This 72-nucleotide transfer RNA is filed under the name Patescibacteria group bacterium. RNAcentral describes it as "tRNA-Arg". It matches the Rfam family "tRNA". Rfam says of the family: Transfer RNA (tRNA) molecules are approximately 80 nucleotides in length. Their secondary structure includes four short double-helical elements and three loops (D, anti-codon, and T loops). The record is from RNAcentral.
GCCCCCUUAGCUUAAUGGAUAAAGUAACGGGUUUCUACCCCGUCGAUGAAGGUUCGAUUCCUUCAGGGGGUA